GCACUGGUGGUUCAGUGGUAGAAUUGUCGCCUGCCACGCGGGACCCCCCGGGUUCGAUUCCCGGCCAGUGCA
Molecule: transfer RNA, 72 nt
Filed under: Nematostella vectensis (starlet sea anemone)
Lineage: Eukaryota; Metazoa; Cnidaria; Anthozoa; Actiniaria; Edwardsiidae
Rfam family: tRNA
About the family: Transfer RNA (tRNA) molecules are approximately 80 nucleotides in length. Their secondary structure includes four short double-helical elements and three loops (D, anti-codon, and T loops). Further hydrogen bonds mediate the characteristic L-shaped molecular structure. tRNAs have two regions of fundamental functional importance: the anti-codon, which is responsible for specific mRNA codon recognition, and the 3' end, to which the tRNAs corresponding amino acid is attached (by aminoacyl-tRNA synthetases). tRNAs cope with the degeneracy of the genetic code in two manners: having more than one tRNA (with a specific anti-codon) for a particular amino acid; and 'wobble' base-pairing, i.e. permitting non-standard base-pairing at the 3rd anti-codon position.
Source: Rfam by way of RNAcentral